RNAcentral lists this non-coding RNA (48 nucleotides) under Schistosoma mansoni. Lineage: Eukaryota; Metazoa; Platyhelminthes; Trematoda; Strigeidida; Schistosomatidae. The record is from RNAcentral.
AUCCAGUUGGCGAGUCUAAAAUAGGACGAAGUGACGCGCGUCGUGGAU